Molecule: ribosomal RNA, 279 nt
Filed under: Arthrobacter sp. SE0305
Lineage: Bacteria; Bacillati; Actinomycetota; Actinomycetes; Micrococcales; Micrococcaceae
Description: partial 16S ribosomal RNA
Rfam family: Bacterial small subunit ribosomal RNA
Source: RNAcentral
UCUAAUACCGGAUAUGACCCCCCAUCGCAUGGUGGUUGGUGGAAAGCUUUUGUGGUUUUGGAUGGACUCGCGGCCUAUCAGCUUGUUGGUGAGGUAAUGGCUCACCAAGGCGACGACGGGUAGCCGGCCUGAGAGGGUGACCGGCCACACUGGGACUGAGACACGGCCCAGACUCCUACGGGAGGCAGCAGUGGGGAAUAUUGCACAAUGGGCGCAAGCCUGAUGCAGCGACGCCGCGUGAGGGAUGACGGCCUUCGGGUUGUAAACCUCUUUCAGUAG